GUUUUUCAUCUAACAUCGUGGAUGUGUAACGGCAUAUUUUCACAUGUCUGCUUUGUAAAAGUUGUACGCGCCUCAUGAGUGCGCGCAGGCCAAAAAGGUAGAGGAGAAAUAGCCUGGACUAUGAGCCUCGAGGAUCUGACUAUGACGAGAAACGUCCAGCAGAGGGAGACACAGGCUGGUAGAAGGCGACUGCAGGGCCCAGGGUCUGUCAGGCAUCCUCCGAGAUGAUUCAGAAGUCAUAAUGUUUUGGGGUGUUGUUUUCUCCUGCUUUUUCCUACAACGGCACAUAUGAACAGUAACAGAACCAUGUUUCACGUGAUUAUUCUACGACUUUUAUAAUCAGUUUUCACUGAGACAUUAAGUG
Long non-coding RNA from Monopterus albus (swamp eel), 364 nucleotides. RefSeq lists it as uncharacterized. The transcript has 3 exons. Lineage: Eukaryota; Metazoa; Chordata; Actinopteri; Synbranchiformes; Synbranchidae. The record is from RefSeq and is a predicted model, not a curated record.